CCCCUAAAGGGGAACUAAAGGGGAAGAAGAAGACGUAGGGGACGCACUCAUAAGGCUUCGCCCCCCCCCUGGUUAAGCAAAAAAUACGGCCACGUUGUUGNCGGUCUUCUUCCCCUAAAGGGGAACUAAAGGGGAACCCUUGUCCCCUCUGGUUGUCUUCCCCGAAGGUGACAAGAAGGUAACCCGAAGGCGAACCCGAAGGUAACCCGAAGGCGAACCCGAAGGUAACCCAAAGGUUGUCUUCAUCCCCUUUAGUUCGUCCCCUUUAGGGGAACCAAAGGGGAAGAACUAAAGGGGAACCCCUUUAGUUCUUCCCCUAAAGGGGAUGAACUUUAGGGGAUGAACUAAAGGGAAUGACAACCUAGGGGAUAGCCGAAGGGGGAAGCCUUCCCCUUUGGGCUCCCCGAAGGGGGAAGUCCCCUUCGGGUUCCAUACCCUUUAGUUCUUCAUCCCCUAAAGGGGAACCGAAGAAGAACCCCCUUCGUCUUCUUCCCCUUUAGUUCAUCCCCGAAGGGUUUCCAAAGGGGAAGAAGAAGACGUAGGGGAUGAUGUUCCCCUUCGGGGAUGAACAAAGGGGAUAACCAUAGGGAAGGGGGAGUAACCCUUUGGUUCCCCUUUAGUUCCCCUUUAGGGGAUGACGUCAUCCCCUUUGGGUGUCUUUUUGGGUGUCUUUUUGGGUGUCUUUUUGGGUUCCCCUUUGGUUCAUCCCCUUUAGG
RNAcentral lists this long non-coding RNA (716 nucleotides) under Volvox carteri. RNAcentral's name for it is "long non-coding RNA (VCAR_LNC004318)". The record is from RNAcentral. Lineage: Eukaryota; Viridiplantae; Chlorophyta; Chlorophyceae; Chlamydomonadales; Volvocaceae.